RNAcentral lists this ribosomal RNA (403 nucleotides) under uncultured bacterium. RNAcentral describes it as "bacterial SSU rRNA". It matches the Rfam family "Bacterial small subunit ribosomal RNA", at positions 356 to 774 of the family's 1533-position model. The record is from RNAcentral.
GGGGAAUAUUGCGCAAUGGGGGAAACCCUGACGCAGCAAUACCGCGUGAGUGAAGAAGGUUUUCGGAUCGUAAAGCUCUGUUAUUGGGGAAGAAAAAAAGACGGUACCCAAGAAGAAAGUCCCGGCUAACUACGUGCCAGCAGCCGCGGUAAUACGUAGGGGACAAGCGUUGUCCGGAUUUACUGGGCGUAAAGGGCACGCAGGCGGACUUUUAAGUCAGGGGUGAAAUCCCGGGGCUCAACCCCGGAACUGCCUUUGAUACUGGAAGUCUUGAGUAUGGUAGAGGUGAGUGGAAUUCCGAGUGUAGAGGUGAAAUUCGUAGAUAUUCGGAGGAACACCAGUGGCGAAGGCGGCUCACUGGACCAUUACUGACGCUGAGGUGCGAAAGCGUGGAGAGCAAACA